This 339-nucleotide ribosomal RNA is filed under the name uncultured Anoxybacillus sp. Its description in RNAcentral is "bacterial SSU rRNA". It matches the Rfam family "Bacterial small subunit ribosomal RNA", at positions 1040 to 1382 of the family's 1533-position model. Lineage: Bacteria; Bacillati; Bacillota; Bacilli; Caryophanales; Anoxybacillaceae. The record is from RNAcentral.
GGUGCAUGGUUGUCGUCAGCUCGUGUCGUGAGAUGUUGGGUUAAGUCCCGCAACGAGCGCAACCCUCGACCUUAGUUGCCAGCAUUCAGUUGGGCACUCUAAGGUGACUGCCGGCUAAAAGUCGGAGGAAGUGGGGAUGACGUCAAAUCAUCAUGCCCUUAUGACCUGGGCUACACACGUGCUACAAUGGGCGGUACAAAGGGUCGCGAACCCGCGAGGGGGAGCCAAUCCCAAAAAGCCGCUCUCAGUUCGGAUUGCAGGCUGCAACUCGCCUGCAUGAAGCCGGAAUCGCUAGUAAUCGCAAAUCAGAAUGUCGCGGUGAAUACGUUCCCGGGCCUU